Molecule: long non-coding RNA, 463 nt
Organism: Rhipicephalus microplus (southern cattle tick)
Lineage: Eukaryota; Metazoa; Arthropoda; Arachnida; Ixodida; Ixodidae
Gene: Mms19
Source: RefSeq, a predicted model, not a curated record
UGAGCUUUUGGAAGAAUAAAACGGGGAGAACAACGUUGCGACCAUUGGCAUAUGGUUGAAAAAUCAAGAGGUGUGCGAAAUUUGAUGUUGCUGUGGUCACACCUUCAUUUCAUGGGUUAGGUUCAUCAAGAGACAAAAGGCCACUUUGAUUGCAUAACAGAUUUUAUGUAACUACAGUUCAUGUACAAAAUGUGUUCACUUGCAAGACUUGCGAUUCAAGCUUGAAUUACAGGUGCGAGUUCCAAUAAAAAGCUUUUUUUUUAUGAGAUACAAUAAAACUUGUUUUUUUUUAAGUGCAUUUUUCGAUGGGAAGGCCACUUUGGUUGCAUAAAAGAUUUGAUAUAACUAUUUUAUUUAACUAUCUAUUUAAUUAUUAGACUUGUGAUUCAAGCUUGAAUUACAGGUGCGUUCAAAUUUGUGGGAUACAAUGAAACUUGUUUUCAUUAAAAAAAUGCAAUGUAAA